CUAGCUCACCUUUCUGGUGUUGUUCUUGUACUCAUCUGUUUAAUCUAGUUCUGCCACUUCUUCUUGAACUUCUUGUUAGAUUUCAAGUCUGUAUUUUGUGUCCGCGACAAGUACAUCCAAACUCUUAUUGCCAAAUAUAAGAGCUUUUAUGCAGGCAGCAAAAAAAAAGUCAUUUUUUGAUAUAUAUGUUAGGUCCAUUUUUCAUAGUAGAAAGAUAUCAAGAUAGUGAU
Molecule: long non-coding RNA, 230 nt
Filed under: Physcomitrium patens
Lineage: Eukaryota; Viridiplantae; Streptophyta; Bryopsida; Funariales; Funariaceae
Description: long non-coding RNA (PPAT_LNC004453)
Source: RNAcentral